RNAcentral lists this ribosomal RNA (440 nucleotides) under uncultured bacterium. RNAcentral's name for it is "partial 16S ribosomal RNA". It matches the Rfam family "Bacterial small subunit ribosomal RNA", at positions 338 to 795 of the family's 1533-position model. The record is from RNAcentral.
CCUACGGGUGGCAGCAGUGGGGAAUAUUGCACAAUGGGCGCAAGCCUGAUGCAGCCACGCCGCGUGAGUGAAGAAGUCCCUCUGGAUGUAAAGCUCUAUCUGCAGGGAGGAAAAUUACGGUACCUGUGUACUUUUCCACGGCUAACUACGUUCCAGCAGCCGCGGUAAUACGCCGGGAGCAAGCGUUAUCCGGAUUGACUGGGUGUAAAGGGAGCGUAGACGGCGCUGCAAGUCCGUUGUGAAAGCCCAGGGCUCAACCAUGGAACUGCUUUGGAAACUGGGGGGCUUGAGUGCGGGAGGGGUAGGCGGAAUUCCUAGUGUAGCGGUGAAAUGCGUAGAUAUCAGGAGGAACACCGGUGGCGAAGGCGGCCUACUGGACUGUAACUGACGCUGAGGCUCGAAAGCGUGGGGAGCAAACAGGAUUAGAUACCCGAGUAGUC